UAUGAUUGGGGUGAAGUCGUAACAAGGUUUCCGUAGGUGAACCUGCAGAAGGAUCA
RNAcentral lists this ribosomal RNA (56 nucleotides) under uncultured eukaryote. Its description in RNAcentral is "partial small subunit ribosomal RNA". It matches the Rfam family "Eukaryotic small subunit ribosomal RNA", at positions 1773 to 1828 of the family's 1831-position model. The record is from RNAcentral.